GAACGCACCACUGGUGUACGGGUUGUGAUGCCAAUUGCAUUGCCCGGUAGCUAAGUGCGGAAGAGAUAACCGCUGAAAGCAUCUAAGCGGGAAACUUGCCUCGAGAUGAGUCUUCCCUGAUUCUUUAAGAAUCCUGAAGGAACGUUUGAGACUAAGACGUUGAUAGGCUGGGUGUGUAAGCGCAGCGAUGCGUUGAGCUGACCAGUACUAAUGAACCGAGAGGCUUAACCUGACAACACCGAAGGUGUUU
Molecule: ribosomal RNA, 250 nt
Filed under: Morganella morganii
Lineage: Bacteria; Pseudomonadati; Pseudomonadota; Gammaproteobacteria; Enterobacterales; Morganellaceae
Description: partial 23S ribosomal RNA
Rfam family: Bacterial large subunit ribosomal RNA
Source: RNAcentral